Molecule: ribosomal RNA, 458 nt
Filed under: uncultured Gammaproteobacteria bacterium
Lineage: Bacteria; Pseudomonadati; Pseudomonadota; Gammaproteobacteria
Description: bacterial SSU rRNA
Rfam family: Bacterial small subunit ribosomal RNA
Source: RNAcentral
AUUGAACGCUGGCGGCAGGCCUAACACAUGCAAGUCGAGCGCGAAAGGUUCUUCGGGACUGAGUAGAGCGGCGGACGGGUGAGUAACGCGUAGGAAUCUACCCAGUGGUGGGGGACAACUUGGGGAAACUCAAGCUAAUACCGCAUACGCCCUACGGGGGAAAGCGGGGGACCUUCGGGCCUCGCGCCAUUAGAUGAACCCGCGUCUGAUUAGCUAGUUGGUGAGGUAACGGCUCACCAAGGCGACGAUCAGUAGCUGGUCUGAGAGGAUGAUCAGCCACACUGGGACUGAGACACGGCCCAGACUCCUACGGGAGGCAGCAGUGGGGAAUAUUGGACAAUGGGCGCAAGCCUGAUCCAGCCAUGCCGCGUGAGUGAUGAAGGCCUUAGGGUUGUAAAGCUCUUUCGCUAGGGAAGAUAAUGACGGUACCUAGAUAAGAAGCCCCGGCUAACUUCGUG